UCGAGAAUCUUCCACAAUGGCCGAAAGUCUGAUGGAGCGACGCCGCGUGAGUGUUGAAGGCCCUACGGGUUGUAAAACUCUGUCAGGAGAGAAGAAUCGCCGGGGUGCCAAUACCAUCCUGGUUUGACGUUAUCUCCAGAGGAAGCUCCGGCUAACUCCGUGCCAGCAGCCGCGGUAAUACGGGGGGAGCAAGCGUUGUCCGGAAUUAUUGGGCGUAAAGGGCGUGUAGGCGGCCUGGUCAGUCGAAUG
Molecule: ribosomal RNA, 249 nt
Filed under: uncultured bacterium
Lineage: Bacteria
Description: partial 16S ribosomal RNA
Rfam family: Bacterial small subunit ribosomal RNA
Source: RNAcentral